This 876-nucleotide long non-coding RNA is filed under the name Ursus maritimus (polar bear). RNAcentral's name for it is "lncRNA (ENSUMAG00000021913.1)". Lineage: Eukaryota; Metazoa; Chordata; Mammalia; Carnivora; Ursidae. The record is from RNAcentral.
GUUUGUUAUUACUAAUAUGGACUUAGUGCUGGGGCAGGUGAUGUGGUUAAAACAUGUCAUCUAAUUGGAGAGAAGAGAUAUAAUGGUGGGCUGUCACAAUGGAUCAAAGUGUUAUGUCUCAAAAGUGAUAGAAGUCUAUUUCUUCCACAGGUAACUAUAUAUUGUUGGUUGUUCUGUGAUGGUGGAAAGCCUCUACUCCAUGCAGUCAUUCAGGAAACCAAGCUGAUGGAAGCUCUGCCAUCUUCAACUAGUUGUUCUAGUCAUCUUUGACACCAUUCAACCUUUGGGAAGAGGGGAUAGCAUCGAAGGGCUCAGUAGGUUGUGCCAAUAUAGCCCAGCAGUGGCAUAUAUCAUUUCCAUCCUUUUUCCAUUGGAAAGAACAUAAUCAUUUAGCUACCUAACUGUGAAGAAGUCUAGGAAUCAUGGAGGAAAGGGAGAAUGGAUUUUAAUGGCCAAUUAGUCUCUGACAUGAAAUCUGGGAGAGGCAAAAUAGUGAUAAAAUAGCAGAUAAGCACAUGCCACAGUGGAGGGUGGAAAUAAUUUUUUAAAAAUGUAUUUAGAAGUUCAGAGAAGAUACAAAUCAGCAUGGAACAAAGUCAUUGGGAAGAGCAUCACUCAAGAGAUGGAACAUGAUGGAACAGAAGAUAAACUGGAUCAAUGAAGACAAAAGUUCCUCAAGAGAAACAUCCAUCCAUUUCUUUUCAGCAAUGCAGUUCUUGUGGGCCUACUAUAUGUAGCUACUGUUUGCGUGUGGAGAAUACAAAGACAAAGAUUCUGCCCUGGAAGGGGAAGGCAGUUGAACCCAAAAUUACAGAACGGUAUCCCUCUGCUGCCCAGAGUCUCCUAUUUCAAGCAUCUUUAGAGCGCAGAGUAUGA